UCCGAAUUGGUGUAGUGGCUAACAUUUGACGCUCUCAAAUACGAAGUACCGUCAAGCCCGGGGUUCGAUUCCCCGAUUCGGAG
Xylaria palmicola is the source of this 83-nucleotide non-coding RNA. The record is from the annotation of a GenBank genome assembly. NCBI's taxonomy places the organism in Eukaryota, Fungi, Ascomycota, Sordariomycetes, Xylariales, Xylariaceae.